Non-coding RNA from Callorhinus ursinus (northern fur seal), 953 nucleotides. NCBI's taxonomy places the organism in Eukaryota, Metazoa, Chordata, Mammalia, Carnivora, Otariidae. The record is from RefSeq and is a predicted model, not a curated record.
CUGUCCCGGCAGCUCAGCCAGUAAGGGGUAGGUAGAGCUGAGGUUCGAACCCACACAGUCACAUAGAAGAUGGAGUUGGAUGGAAAAUUCGUGCUCUUUAUACUACAUAUCAACACUAUGCUUUGCAUAUCAUGACACCUUGCAACUUAGGUGCGAUGCUUAAGUAUGACUGUGGUCAGGCUGUUUUCCAAGUUUGUGCGGCCACCUGUUCAGGUAUAUGGUAUCAAAGGUCGCUAUGCCACUGCUCUUUAUUCUGCUGCAUCUAAACAGAAUAAACUGGAACAAGUAGAGAAAGAAUUGUUGAGAGUAGCGCAAAUCUUGAAGGAACCCAAAAUGGCUGCUUCCAUUAUGAAUCCCUAUAUAAAGCAUUCCGUGAAAGUGAAAAGCCAUGACAUGAGCACAAAAGAGAGGUUCUUUCCUCUCACAUCCAACCUGAUCAAUUUGCUUGCUGAGAAUGGUCGCUUGGACAAUACCCCUGGAGUCAUUUCUGCCUUUUUGACCAUGAUGAGCAUCCACUGUGGAGAAGUACUGUGCACAGUGACCACUGCAUCUCCUUUAGAUGAAGCCACUCUUCCUGAAUUAAAAACGGUCCUGAAGAGCUUCCUAAGUAAAGGCCAAGUCUUGAAAUUGGAAGUUAAGACUGACCCAUCAAUCAUGGGUGGAAUGAUUGUCCGUAUUGGAGAGAGAUACGCUGAUAUGUCUGCGAAAACCAAGAUUCAGAAGCUCAGCAGGGCCAUGCGGGAAGUUUUCUGAAAGUGUUGAUUUUCUGUCAGUGAAAAUUCCUAAACUUGGAGCAACAAUAAAAUGCUUCCUAAACAGAAAAAAAAAGUGCUAUGAAAAGCAAACUACAUGACAUUUCAGAGUUCAGAGAUUUGAUUAGAUCAUUUAAAUAAAGUUUUUGCCAAAGAACUGAACACAUGAAAUGAAUGGUAGCAUCAUUGUGAAGAUUUUCA